RNAcentral lists this ribosomal RNA (497 nucleotides) under uncultured bacterium. Its description in RNAcentral is "partial 16S ribosomal RNA". It matches the Rfam family "Bacterial small subunit ribosomal RNA", at positions 28 to 507 of the family's 1533-position model. The record is from RNAcentral.
GAUGAACGCUGGCGGCGUGUCUAAUACAUGCAAGUCGAGCGAACAGAUGAGGAGCUUGCUCCUCUGACGUUAGCGGCGGACGGGUGAGUAACACGUGGAUAACCUACCUAUAAGACUGGGAUAACUUCGGGAAACCGGAGCUAAUACCGGAUAAUAUAUUGAACCGCAUGGUUCAAUAGUGAGAGACGGUUUUGCUGUCACUUAUAGAUGGAUCCGCGCCGCAUUAGCUAGUUGGUAAGGUAACGGCUUACCAAGGCAACGAUGCGUAGCCGACCUGAGAGGGUGAUCGGCCACACUGGAACUGAGACACGGUCCAGACUCCUACGGGAGGCAGCAGUAGGGAAUCUUCCGCAAUGGGCGAAGGCCUGACGGAGCAACGCCGCGUGAGUGAUGAAGGUCUUCGGAUCGUAAAACUCUGUUAUUAGGGAAGAACAAAUGUGUAAGUAACUAUGCACGUCUUGACGGUACCUAAUCAGAAAGCCACGGCUAACUACGUG